UACGUAGGGGGCGAGCGUUGUCCGGAAUUAUUGGGCGUAAAGAGCGUGUAGGCGGUCCGGUAAGUCCGCUGUGAAAGUCCAGGGCUCAACCCUGGAAUGCCGGUGGAUACUGCCGGGCUAGAGUCCGGAAGAGGCGAGUGGAAUUCCCGGUGUAGCGGUGAAAUGCGUAGAUAUCUGGAGGAACACCGGUGGCGAAGGCGGCCUUCUGGACAGUGACUGACGCUGAGACGCGAAAGCGUGGGGAGCAAACAGG
This 253-nucleotide ribosomal RNA is filed under the name uncultured bacterium. RNAcentral describes it as "partial 16S ribosomal RNA". It matches the Rfam family "Bacterial small subunit ribosomal RNA", at positions 524 to 776 of the family's 1533-position model. The record is from RNAcentral.